ACGACUNUCGGCAACGGAUAUCUNGGCUCUCGCAUCGAUGAAGAACGUAGCGAAAUGCGAUACUUGGUGUGAAUUGCAGAAUCCCGUGAACCAUCGAGUCUUUGAACGCAAGUUGCGCCCGAAGCCGUCAGGCCAAGGGCACGUCUGCCUGGGUGUCACGCA
RNAcentral lists this ribosomal RNA (162 nucleotides) under Reseda aucheri subsp. afghanica. Its description in RNAcentral is "5.8S ribosomal RNA". It matches the Rfam family "5.8S ribosomal RNA". Rfam says of the family: 5.8S ribosomal RNA (5.8S rRNA) is a component of the large subunit of the eukaryotic ribosome. Lineage: Eukaryota; Viridiplantae; Streptophyta; Magnoliopsida; Brassicales; Resedaceae. The record is from RNAcentral.